This 1368-nucleotide ribosomal RNA is filed under the name Halomonas sp. RNAcentral describes it as "bacterial SSU rRNA". It matches the Rfam family "Bacterial small subunit ribosomal RNA", at positions 77 to 1439 of the family's 1533-position model. Lineage: Bacteria; Pseudomonadati; Pseudomonadota; Gammaproteobacteria; Oceanospirillales; Halomonadaceae. The record is from RNAcentral.
AGCUUGCUUCCUGGUGGCGAGCGGCGGACGGGUGAGUAAUGCAUAGGAAUCUGCCCGGUAGUGGGGGAUAACCUGGGGAAACCCAGGCUAAUACCGCAUACGUCCUACGGGAGAAAGCAGGGGCUCUUCGGACCUUGCGCUAUCGGAUGAGCCUAUGUCGGAUUAGCUGGUUGGUGAGGUAAUGGCUCACCAAGGCGACGAUCCGUAGCUGGUCUGAGAGGAUGAUCAGCCACAUCGGGACUGAGACACGGCCCGAACUCCUACGGGAGGCAGCAGUGGGGAAUAUUGGACAAUGGGCGCAAGCCUGAUCCAGCCAUGCCGCGUGUGUGAAGAAGGCCCUCGGGUUGUAAAGCACUUUCAGUGGGGAAGAAAGCCUGGUGGUUAAUACCCGUCAGGAAGGACAUCACCCACAGAAGAAGCACCGGCUAACUCCGUGCCAGCAGCCGCGGUAAUACGGAGGGUGCGAGCGUUAAUCGGAAUUACUGGGCGUAAAGCGCGCGUAGGUGGCUUGAUAAGCCGGUUGUGAAAGCCCCGGGCUCAACCUGGGAACGGCAUCCGGAACUGUCAGGCUAGAGUGCAGGAGAGGAAGGUAGAAUUCCCGGUGUAGCGGUGAAAUGCGUAGAGAUCGGGAGGAAUACCAGUGGCGAAGGCGGCCUUCUGGACUGACACUGACACUGAGGUGCGAAAGCGUGGGUAGCAAACAGGAUUAGAUACCCUGGUAGUCCACGCCGUAAACGAUGUCGACUAGCCGUUGGGUCCUUCGCGGACUUUGUGGCGCAGUUAACGCGAUAAGUCGACCGCCUGGGGAGUACGGCCGCAAGGUUAAAACUCAAAUGAAUUGACGGGGGCCCGCACAAGCGGUGGAGCAUGUGGUUUAAUUCGAUGCAACGCGAAGAACCUUACCUACCCUUGACAUCCUGCGAACCCUUCGGAGACGAAGGGGUGCCUUCGGGAACGCAGAGACAGGUGCUGCAUGGCUGUCGUCAGCUCGUGUUGUGAAAUGUUGGGUUAAGUCCCGUAACGAGCGCAACCCUUGUCCUUAUUUGCCAGCGAGUAAAGUCGGGAACUCUAAGGAGACUGCCGGUGACAAACCGGAGGAAGGUGGGGACGACGUCAAGUCAUCAUGGCCCUUACGGGUAGGGCUACACACGUGCUACAAUGGUCAGUACAAAGGGUUGCGAACUUGCGAGAGUGAGCCAAUCCCAGAAAGCUGAUCUCAGUCCGGAUCGGAGUCUGCAACUCGACUCCGUGAAGUCGGAAUCGCUAGUAAUCGUGAAUCAGAAUGUCACGGUGAAUACGUUCCCGGGCCUUGUACACACCGCCCGUCACACCAUGGGAGUGGACUGCACCAGAAGUGGUUAGCCUAAC